GACGAACGCUGGCGGCGUGCUUAACACAUGCAAGUCGAACGGAAAGGCCCUGCUUGCAGGGUACUCGAGUGGCGAACGGGUGAGUAACACGUGGGUGAUCUGCCCUGCACUUCGGGAUAAGCCUGGGAAACUGGGUCUAAUACCGGAUAGGAGCCAUUUUUAGUGUGAUGGUUGGAAAGUUUUUUCGGUGUAGGAUGAGCUCGCGGCCUAUCAGCUUGUUGGUGGGGUAAUGGCCUACCAAGGCGGCGACGGGUAGCCGGCCUGAGAGGGUGGACGGCCACAUUGGGACUGAGAUACGGCCCAGACUCCUACGGGAGGCAGCAGUGGGGAAUAUUGCACAAUGGGCGCAAGCCUGAUGCAGCGACGCCGCGUGGGGGAUGACGGCCUUCGGGUUGUAAACUCCUUUCGCUAGGGACGAAGCUUUUUGUGACGGUACCUAGAUAAGAAGUACCGGCUAACUACAUG
Molecule: ribosomal RNA, 465 nt
Filed under: uncultured bacterium
Lineage: Bacteria
Description: partial 16S ribosomal RNA
Rfam family: Bacterial small subunit ribosomal RNA
Source: RNAcentral